AAUUCUGUGCAUGUUUGCUCACUAUUGAACCCUGGAGUCUACUACUCAAAUAUUUGUCAAAUGAGUAAACGGUAGCUCUGUGCAGGGCCAAGGAACACAAGAAACAUGCAAUCUGCCAAAAUACUUAUUACAGCUCACUCUCCUCUGGUGACAUUUCCCUGAGGCACAUUCCUGUUGGUUUCUUCCCCUCAAGAAGCAUUCUUCUUUCUCCUUCCUAUAAAAGCCAGGAUUUUCUCAGAUAGCCACACCAUGCCCCAUGCAAAGAGAUCUGGAUUAUUCUACCAUCUUGAGGCAUUUCUGUGGAAACUGCUAUCAGUCCAAGUGGCCCAUGACCUAAGCUGACCCAAGCCAACUGAAGGGAGGACGUAUUCUAUGCAUGCUGUGCAGUUCCACAGGGUGCUGGUUGUCCCAGCUGCUGCUGGUGGUCUUCAUGUAGCCAAGGUACCACUAGUGCAUAUGGAGAAAACA
This 468-nucleotide long non-coding RNA is filed under the name Homo sapiens (human). Its description in RNAcentral is "non-protein coding lnc-LIPI-13:1". The record is from RNAcentral. Lineage: Eukaryota; Metazoa; Chordata; Mammalia; Primates; Hominidae.